Molecule: transfer RNA, 67 nt
Filed under: Xenograpsus testudinatus
Lineage: Eukaryota; Metazoa; Arthropoda; Malacostraca; Decapoda; Xenograpsidae
Description: tRNA-Leu
Source: RNAcentral
ACUGUCUUGGCAGAUAAUAUGUACUAGAUUUAGGAUCUAGGAAGAUAGAGUAAUUCUAUAGGCAGUU